GAGGAAUAUUGGUCAAUGGACGAGAGUCUGAACCAGCCAAGUAGCGUGAAGGAUGACUGCCCUAUGGGUUGUAAACUUCUUUUAUACGGGAAUAAAGUGAGGUACGUGUGCCUUUUUGUAUGUACCGUAUGAAUAAGGAUCGGCUAACUCCGUGCCAGCAGCCGCGGUAAUACGGAGGAUCCGAGCGUUAUCCGGAUUUAUUGGGUUUAAAGGGAGCGUAGGCGGACGCUUAAGUCAGUUGUGAAAGUUUGCGGCUCAACCGUAAAAUUGCAGUUGAUACUGGGUGUCUUGAGUACAGUAGAGGCAGGCGGAAUUCGUGGUGUAGCGGUGAAAUGCUUAGAUAUCACGAAGAACUCCGAUUGCGAAGGCAGCCUGCUGGACUGUAACUGACGCUGAUGCUCGAAAGUGUGGGUAUCAAACAGGAUUAGAUACCCUGGUAGUCCACACAGUAAACGAUGAAUACUCGCUGUUUGCGAUAUACAGUAAGCGGCCAAGCGAAAGCGUUAAGUAUUCCACCUGGGGAGUACGCCGGCAACGGUGAAACUCAAAGGAAUUGACGGGGGCCCGCACAAGCGGAGGAACAUGUGGUUUAAUUCGAUGAUACGCGAGGAACCUUACCCGGGCUUGAAUUGCAACUGAAUGAUGUGGAGACAUGUCAGCCGCAAGGCAGUUGUGAAGGUGCUGCAUGGUUGUCGUCAGCUCGUGCCGUGAGGUGUCGGCUUAAGUGCCAUAACGAGCGCAACCCUUAUCGAUAGUUACCAUCAGGUUAUGCUGGGGACUCUGUCGAGACUGCCGUCGUAAGAUGUGAGGAAGGUGGGGAUGACGUCAAAUCAGCACGGCCCUUACGUCCGGGGCUACACACGUGUUACAAUGGGGGGUACAGAAGGCAGCUACACGGCGACGUGAUGCUAAUCCCGAAAGCCUCUCUCAGUUCGGAUUGGAGUCUGCAAUCCGACUCCAUGAAGCUGGAUUCGCUAGUAAUCGCGCAUCAGCCACGGCGCGGUGAAUACGUUCCCG
This 1017-nucleotide ribosomal RNA is filed under the name uncultured organism. RNAcentral's name for it is "bacterial SSU rRNA". It matches the Rfam family "Bacterial small subunit ribosomal RNA", at positions 356 to 1376 of the family's 1533-position model. The record is from RNAcentral.